AUUGAACGCUGGCGGCAGGCCUAACACAUGCAAGUCGAGCGGAUGAAGGGAGCUUGCUCCUGGAUUCAGCGGCGGACGGGUGAGUAAUGCCUAGGAAUCUGCCUGGUAGUGGGGGAUAACGUCCGGAAACGGGCGCUAAUACCGCAUACGUCCUGAGGGAGAAAGUGGGGGAUCUUCGGACCUCACGCUAUCAGAUGAGCCUAGGUCGGAUUAGCUAGUUGGUGGGGUAAAGGCCUACCAAGGCGACGAUCCGUAACUGGUCUGAGAGGAUGAUCAGUCACACUGGAACUGAGACACGGUCCAGACUCCUACGGGGGGCAGCAGUGGGGAAUAUUGGACAAUGGGCGAAAGCCUGAUCCAGCCAUGCCGCGUGUGUGAAGAAGGUCUGCGGAUUGUAAAGCACUUUAAGUUGGGAGGAAGGGCAGUAAGUUAAUACCUUGCUGUUUUGACGUUACCAACAGAAUAAGCACCGGCUAACUUC
This 481-nucleotide ribosomal RNA is filed under the name uncultured bacterium. RNAcentral's name for it is "partial 16S ribosomal RNA". It matches the Rfam family "Bacterial small subunit ribosomal RNA", at positions 30 to 504 of the family's 1533-position model. The record is from RNAcentral.